Oncorhynchus mykiss (rainbow trout) is the source of this 585-nucleotide non-coding RNA. Lineage: Eukaryota; Metazoa; Chordata; Actinopteri; Salmoniformes; Salmonidae. The record is from RefSeq and is a predicted model, not a curated record.
GAUAACACUAGGUUAUAGUAGUAGAGUCAGAGAGAUAACACUAGGUUAUAGUAGUAGAGUCAGAGAGGUAUCACUAGGUUAUAGUAGUAGAGUCAGAGAGGUAUCACUAGGUUAUAGUAGUAGAGUCAGAGAGGUAACACUAGGUUAUAGUAGUAGAGUCAGAGAGGUAUCACUAGGUUAUAGUAGUAGAGUCAGAGAGAUAACACUAGGUUAUAGUAGUAGUCAGAGAGGUAUCACUAGGUUAUAGUAGUAGAGUCAGAGAGGUAACACUAGGUUAUAGUAGUAGAGUCAGAGAGGUAUCACUAGGUUAUAGUAGUAGAGUCAGAGAGGUAACACUAGGUUAUAGUAGUAGAGUCAGAGAGGUAUCACUAGGUUAUAGUAGUAGAGUCAGAGAGGUAUCACUAGGUUAUAGUAGUAGAGUCAGAGAGGUAACACUAGGUUAUAGUAGUAGAGUCAGAGAGGUAACACUAGGUUAUAGUAGUAGUCAGAGAGGUAUCACUAGGUUAUAGUAGUAGAGUCAGAGAGGUAUCACUAGGUUAUAGUAGUAGAGUCAGAGAGGUAACACUAGGUUAUAGUAGUAGAGUC